This 726-nucleotide long non-coding RNA is filed under the name Pan troglodytes (chimpanzee). RNAcentral's name for it is "long non-coding RNA NONPTRT002725". Lineage: Eukaryota; Metazoa; Chordata; Mammalia; Primates; Hominidae. The record is from RNAcentral.
GUUGGCCCGAGUCACAAACGAGGGGAUACACUGGUCCCUGGCUCCCCAAGGGAGGGGCUGCUGAGCUUUGGGAGACCUCAUGAAAAUCCAGCUUAAGGCCAUCAAAAGACAAAAUGACAACACAUUUAGUUAUAGAUCAAAUUGGCUUCUAUUCAUGAUUCGUGAAUCUGGACAGUCUCCAUUCUACAAAAUGGAGUGAGAGCUCCCACCAGGCAGUGGCGGAGCAGGGGGUUCGUAAGGCAGAAAGGAGGAAACAGAAAAAUAGGAAACACCAAACCGCCUAAUACCGGAUCGCUGCAGACUGCUUUUUUCUAAGCGGACUGCUUUUUUCUAAGGGAGAUUCUUACAAAGGGUGAGAGAGGCACAGGCGUGGUUUGCCUUUGACCACUGGCAGAAGUCUGAAGGUGAGAGUAGAAUGGAGAAGGACCCAGGAGAGUGCGGAGUUGAGGGAGAUAAAUAUUUGCAGGCUACUUAGCAAAACACCCAGAGCUGACCUUUGUCAAGUACUUUCUGUGGGCACAACAGCAAAUGUUUUAUGCAGCGUGAUGUCAUUUAAUCCUCACAAUGACACCAGGUGCCAUUAGCAUCCCCAUUUCACAGAUGAGGAAACCGAGGCAGAGAAGGUGAGUGACUUGCCCAAGGUCCCACAACCAGUAAGAGGCAGAGCCCGGAGACAGGCCUGAUGGUGGCUCGAGAAGCUCGUUCUUGGCUCCUGGGUCUCAGUCC